CAGUCUUGUAGCAAUAUGAGAUUGUUCAGUGGCGAACGGGUGCGUAACACGUGGGCACAUUCCGGGAAGCGAGAAAUAGCCCAGGGAAACUUGGAUUAAUAUCUCAUGUGGUCGCAAGACUAAAGGCGCAAGCCGCUUCCUGAUUGGCCCGCGGCCUAUCAGCUAGUUGGUGAGGUAAAAGCUCACCAAGGCAACGACGGGUAGCUGGUCUGAGAGGACGACCAGCCACACUGGAACUGAGACACGGUCCAGACACCUACGGGUGGCAGCAGUCGAGAAUCUUUCACAAUGGGGGAAACCCUGAUGGAGCGACGCCGCGUGGAGGUUAAGGUCUUCGGAUUGUAAACUCCUGUCAUGCGAGAACAAAGCCCGCAAGGGUGUGAUAGUACCGCAAGAGGAAGAGACGGCUAACUCUGUGCCAGCAGCCGCGGUAAUACAGAGGUCUCAAGCGUUGUUCGGAAUUACUGGGCGUAAAGGGUGCGCAGGCCGCGCGGGCAGUCAAAUGUGUAAUUCAGAGGCUCAACCUCUGGACUGCGCUUGAUACUUCCGCGCUCGAACCUUGGAGAGGAGUCUGGAAUUCUCGGUGUAGCAGUGAAAUGCGUGGAUAUCGAGAAGAACACUUAGGGCGAAGGCAAGACUCUGGACAAGUGUUGACGCUCAUGCACGAAGGCUAGGGUAGCGAACGGGAUUAGAUACCCCGGUAGUCCUAGCUGUAAACGGUGCACGCUUGGUGUGGGAGGCAACCCCUCCCGUGCCGAAGCUAAUGCGAUAAGCGUGCCGCCUGGGUAGUACGGUCGCAAGACUAAAACUCAAAGAAAUUGACGGGGACCCGCACAAGCGGUGGAGUAUUUGGCUUAAUUC
Molecule: ribosomal RNA, 861 nt
Filed under: uncultured bacterium
Lineage: Bacteria
Description: bacterial SSU rRNA
Rfam family: Bacterial small subunit ribosomal RNA
Source: RNAcentral